AGCCUGUGAUGGUUUAAGAGUAGUGGACAGAAGGGAUUUCUGAAAAUGACGUUCUGAGGCU
This is a small nucleolar RNA of Oryctolagus cuniculus (rabbit), 61 nucleotides long. The record is from Ensembl. NCBI's taxonomy places the organism in Eukaryota, Metazoa, Chordata, Mammalia, Lagomorpha, Leporidae.